RNAcentral lists this ribosomal RNA (254 nucleotides) under uncultured bacterium. RNAcentral describes it as "partial 16S ribosomal RNA". It matches the Rfam family "Bacterial small subunit ribosomal RNA", at positions 524 to 776 of the family's 1533-position model. The record is from RNAcentral.
UACGGAGGGUGCAAGCGUUGCUCGGAAUCACUGGGCGUAAAGCGUACGCAGGCGGCUCGAUAAGUCGGGUGUGAAAGCCCGGGGCUCAACCCCGGAAUUGCGCCCGAUACUGCCGAGCUUGAGUACGGGAGAGGGAUAGCGGAAGUCCUGGUGUAGAGGUGAAAUUCGUAGAUAUCAGGAGGAACACCAGUGGCGAAAGCGGCUUCCUGGCCCGAUACUGACGCUCAUGUACGAAAGCGUGGGGAGCAAACAGG